RNAcentral lists this ribosomal RNA (500 nucleotides) under uncultured bacterium. RNAcentral describes it as "partial 16S ribosomal RNA". It matches the Rfam family "Bacterial small subunit ribosomal RNA", at positions 30 to 523 of the family's 1533-position model. The record is from RNAcentral.
AUUGAACGCUGGCGGAAUGCUUUACACAUGCAAGUCGAACGAUGAACCUUAGCUUGCUAGGGGGAUUAGUGGCGAACGGGUGAGUAACAUAUCGGAACAUACCUAGUAAUGGGGGAUAACUAGUCGAAAGAUUAGCUAAUACCGCAUACGCCCUGAGGGGGAAAGUAGGGGAUCUUCGGACCUUACGUUAUUAGAGCGGCCGAUAUCUGAUUAGCUAGUUGGUGGGGUAAAGGCCUACCAAGGCGACGAUCAGUAGCUGGUCUGAGAGGACGACCAGCGAAACUGGAACUGAGACACGGUCCAGACUCCUACGGGAGGCAGCAGUGGGGAAUUUUGGACAAUGGGGGCAACCCUGAUCCAGCCAUUCCGCGUGAGUGAAGAAGGCCUUCGGGUUGUAAAGCUCUUUCGCAAGGGAAGAAAACUUACAUUCUAAUAAAGUGUGAGGCUGACGGUACCUUGAUAAGAAGCACCGGCUAACUACGUGCCAGCCGCCGCCGUAA